This 468-nucleotide ribosomal RNA is filed under the name uncultured bacterium. RNAcentral describes it as "partial 16S ribosomal RNA". It matches the Rfam family "Bacterial small subunit ribosomal RNA", at positions 28 to 507 of the family's 1533-position model. The record is from RNAcentral.
GACGAACGCUGGCGGCGUGCUUAACACAUGCAAGUCGAACGGAAAGGCCCUGCUUUUGUGGGGUGCUCGAGUGGCGAACGGGUGAGUAACACGUGAGUAACCUGCCCUUGACUUUGGGAUAACUUCAGGAAACUGGGGCUAAUACCGGAUAGGAGCUCCUGCUGCAUGGUGGGGGUUGGAAAGUUUCGGCGGUUGGGGAUGGACUCGCGGCUUAUCAGCUUGUUGGUGGGGUAGUGGCUUACCAAGGCUUUGACGGGUAGCCGGCCUGAGAGGGUGACCGGCCACAUUGGGACUGAGAUACGGCCCAGACCCCGACGGGAGGCAGCAGUGGGGAAUAUUGCACAAUGGGGGGAAGCCUGAUGCAGAAAACCCGCGUGGGGGAUGACGGCCUUCGGGGUGUAAACCGCUUUCGCCUGUGACGAAGCGGGAGUGACGGUAAUGGGUAAAGAAGCACCGGCUAACUACGUG